This 1087-nucleotide long non-coding RNA is filed under the name Citrus x clementina. RNAcentral's name for it is "Citrus clementina (C. clementina) long non-coding RNA (CCLE_LNC002061)". The record is from RNAcentral. Lineage: Eukaryota; Viridiplantae; Streptophyta; Magnoliopsida; Sapindales; Rutaceae.
AGAAAUAAGAAAAUUUUAAAAAAGUUGGGAGCCAUAACUCAACCAAUACAUCCUUUUGAAAAAGAAAAAAAGCUAUAUUGUGGGUCCAACCUUUGAAUUCACCACAUCCAACUUGGCGAUGAUUAAAUAAAUAGUAAAAAUGAAAAAGCACAAAACAAUUAAAUGUAAAAUCUUAUAAAUUUUACAUUUUAGCGAUCAAUGUGCAAUAAUGGAAUCCAGCUGCAAGUGCCAAACAUUCGUUCGUUCAUUUACAUUUAUUCCAUUCCUUGAUUCAGGAGGGGAAAAAAUUGACACAGAAGAAGUAAUAAUAAUGAUAAUAGUAAUAAGUCAAAAAAUAUAAAUAUAUAUAUCAGGUGGGGGGGGGGGGGGGUUCACACGUUUUAAUAGUGUAUUUAAAAAGAAAAAGAAUUCAAAAAUUUUAAAUUAAAGUUGAUUUGUGAAAUGGACCUGUCAGGUAAAAAGGAAAUAGUACGACUGUGCAGAGGAACAGUCUUUUGUAUAUGCGCACUUACACACACGCAUGAGUAUAAAACGACAGCGUGAUUGCUGCAUCCUAACAAAAAGAGAAGUAGCGAUAAAGGUGAAAACCGAAAACAUUAUUUGAAUUAAUAAGAAAUAAGCUUUAUUUGGAAUUAUUUAUUUUGUAAAAAAAGAAAAAAAAAAGGAUUAAAAUUAAAUGUCGGUCAAUUGGUAACUCCGCACGCGCGGUCUUCUAUUUGUUGUCGUCUUCUUACGGUUUUGGCUUCAGUGCUGCGCCUCUGAGACGGCCACGUCACCCCACCAUUUUAUCUUUCAUUUCGCGACGAGUUAUACGUUUCGCGAUAUUUUGAGAUCAACGCCAUCGCUGUCCAUGACCAUUCACCGCGUCAACGGUUCGUAUUACGCGCAAUUCUUUCAGCACCGAACGCCGGAGGAAGAAACGAAAGUACAACUCAGCUUGAAUUUUGUACGUGCCAAAUUUUUUAUGAGUGAGUGUAAACUACGUUUUGCCGCGUGGUCAUUUGCAUUGCAUUGCUUUGCAUAAUUUUUUGAACGCGAUUGAUUUACGCUGUUAAAAAUUUAAAAUUUUACCGAGACCAACGUAAAU